Molecule: small RNA, 248 nt
Filed under: Arabidopsis thaliana (thale cress)
Lineage: Eukaryota; Viridiplantae; Streptophyta; Magnoliopsida; Brassicales; Brassicaceae
Description: ATSL137080
Source: RNAcentral
CAAAUUUUUAUCUUACACAUUCAAUUUUGUAAUACAUUUUAACUAUCUAUUUCAUAAAAAACUCGAUUUUAAUUCUACACACUUCAUCUUACUUGAUAAUAAUUUCAUGUCAAAAUAAUAUUUAUAUGAGAUCAAAUCUAUAUCUUAGUUAAUAUUAAAAAUUAUUAACAAUUAACAAAACAUAAUUAAUAAUAAUACAAAUUUUGUUAAUACCAUAUAUAUUAAAAAUUUGACCAAUAACAUAUAUA